CUUAUUGGAAUUGCUGGGUAGCACCAGCCAUUCUUAUGACCGGGUUAUUUGCUAAUUUUCGAACUGUCACUUUUGAGUUUAAUUCUCCAAAUGAGACAGACCCUAAAGAGUGAAAAACUUGUUGUGUGGUUGGAACAUGCGAUAUUCAACAAUUCAAAAAGUGGCCAAGUAAUGUGAAGUGUACUGUACUUGUGUACUUGUGUGUACUUGUGUGUACUUGUAUUCAAUCAAUGGAAAUAAAACAUCAGUAUCACAAUUAGAGGACUCCGUCAAUAAGAAUGUAAAUAUCGACUUAUGACCCGCAGGCCGGGCGCUACGUAAAUAGCUCUUAACAGCUGUAGCCACUGGUGUUAAGAUUCCGGAAUUCAGCCUAGUUCACCGUGGAUUUGGAGUGCUACCGCUCGAACGUAUGCGAAUCUUUUCGACGUGAAGUGUAAAGAUCAGCAGCCGGGGAAAACGAGGGAAGCUCCGAUUCUGGCAUUUAUUAUGUGAUUACGACACCGUUCUUGCUAGGAGGCAUCUUAUGGAAAAAAAUAAUAGAAUGUUUCCGAAUCUGUAGCCGAAGCCGGUUGGCGGCAAUAAGGAGAGCAUUUGAUUCCAGCAUUGAUUCUUGACCUGGCGCAACUGUUAGCUGGCGAGGCGGAUGACCACGCCUUGAUGCAUUGAUUCUAGAGGCAGUUACAGGCGCUCCGGAGACCAAGAUGACAGUUUUCGGCAAAAAGGAAGAUUUUCGUUUCCUGAAUUGAUUUUUACGGCAGCGCUGGUGGUGUUCCGGAGAUAAAGGAGCAGAAGACGAUUGUAGCUUACUUUGGUUCCGGAGGUAGCUACUGGUGGUGCUCUGACUGCUACGACUGUUGAAGAGAUGGAAUUACCGCGCUUGUACAAAAUCUUAAUACCUACCAGUACUAUUAUAUCUUAAUAAUGUCAAUCAUA
Long non-coding RNA from Armigeres subalbatus, 933 nucleotides. RefSeq lists it as uncharacterized. The transcript is spliced from 3 exons. The record is from RefSeq and is a predicted model, not a curated record. Lineage: Eukaryota; Metazoa; Arthropoda; Insecta; Diptera; Culicidae.